This is an RNA transcript of Magnolia sinica, 1375 nucleotides long. It is a transcript of the gene named B3 domain-containing protein Os01g0723500-like, with no coding region annotated. NCBI's taxonomy places the organism in Eukaryota, Viridiplantae, Streptophyta, Magnoliopsida, Magnoliales, Magnoliaceae. The record is from RefSeq and is a predicted model, not a curated record. The transcript is spliced from 5 exons.
UACGGAGGUUUUGCCCUUGCUUUAUUACAGUCGCGAGGCUUUUUCCGCAUGCAGGUAGAGAGAGAGAGAGGGAGAGAGAUGAAAAGAAAGCCUCAUUUCUUCAAAGUGCUGUUGGGGGAUUUCUCGCAUUCUCUGCGGAUACCUCCUGCCUUUGUGAAAUAUAUUGCAAAAGAAGUAUCUCAAAGAGCCAUUCUAAAGGGUCCUAGUGGUAGGAUUUGGCAUGUGGAGUUAUGUAAAAGGACCAGUGGCACAUAUCUGCAGAAUGGUUGGCAGGAAUUUGUAAAGGACCAUUCAUUACAGGAAUAUGAAUUUCUAGUCUUCAGAUAUGAUGGCGAUGUGCAUUUCACCGUGCAAAUUUUUGAUCGAACUGCAUGCGAGAAAAAAGACGUUCUUACUAUGAAAACUCCCACAGAAUCGACCAGCAAAGAAAGCAAGAAACGAGGUAGGGAGGAGGAGAAUUCUUUGGAUUCCAGUAAAUUCUCUCACCGUAAAGCUCACAAAAGUGAAACAGAGAAGCAUGAAAUUGCGUGUGUGCAUGCACCACAACAUUCGUUCAGAGAUGAUUAUAUCGAUGCUAUUCAAGGCCUACAUACACCUCCAAAAUCUGAUGGGUUUGUGAAGAUCAAAACAGAGGAUGUUGAAUUGCCCAUAUCUGGAAUUGCUUCACCGGCUGUGAAAGUUGAUUUUUCACCAAGAAUGCAGCUCCCAGCUUCUGAAAAGGCCGACUCUUUUACUUCCAAAUUUCCGUAUUUCAUAACACAGUUGAGAAUGUUCAAUGUGCGCACGACAUUGGUACUGCACAUACCAAUUAGCUUCUCGAGGCUAUAUCUUCCUACAGAGAGAACCACACUGCUUGUCCGAGAUCCGACUGGGAGGCCGUGGGAAGUGAACUACCUCUAUAGAAAUGGAAGAGGCUUCUUGUCUGGUGGGUGGCCUGCCUUUUCACGCAGUAACAGUCUUAAAAAAGGAGAUUUCUGUGCAUUUGAGCUGGUGGGUCAGAAGGAAAUACAAGUGCACAUCUUCCGCUUGGUCGAAGAAAUCAUGCCGUUGAUCAAAGUGUCCGAGCCAAUGUAACUAUGCUACUGAUCGCAGUGGCUCAUAUAUAUAACCUCCCACAAUACCAUAGUUUCGUUCUGGCGAUGGACGGUCCAACUACACUGCAAAAGCUGUGUAUCUCAGUGUCUUUCUGCUUCCACAGAAUCCAAACAGUGCAUCUGGAGAGAUUCCUCAUGGGCACCAUACAUCCAAAUCCCUGUCAGAAACUCAAGUGGGACACACCACAGGGAGCAAUGUACAAUCAUGCCUAUAGACUGUAUAUUCACUUGUUUUGGCCCACCUAAGUUUUGUAAAAUCUUUGAGUUUCAGUGUCCCUUAA